UACUUAAUUUUCAUAUAAAAUAUAUAUAAAUAUAUAAUUUUUAAUUUUUUAUAUGAUAUAAAUACAUAAAUCAUUAGAUUUAUGCUCAUAUUGACUAGAGUACCAGCAGGGCUAUUUCUUCCAAUCACAUGAUUUAGUCGGCUAAAAACUAGGGCUACACGCUGCUUUUUGGGCCAGCCCACUAGACAAGCAAACCAUAUAAUUCAAUUGAAAAGACCAAAAUUUUUUAU
RNAcentral lists this long non-coding RNA (230 nucleotides) under Durio zibethinus. RNAcentral's name for it is "long non-coding RNA (DZIB_LNC001412)". The record is from RNAcentral. Lineage: Eukaryota; Viridiplantae; Streptophyta; Magnoliopsida; Malvales; Malvaceae.